GACGAACGCUGGCGGCGUGCUUAACACAUGCAAGUCGAACGGAAAGGCCCUGCUUGCAGGGUACUCGAGUGGCGAACGGGUGAGUAACACGUGGGUGAUCUGCCCUGCACUUCGGGAUAAGCUUGGGAAACUGGGUCUAAUACCGGAUAGGAACCAUCUUUAGUGUGGUGGUUGGAAAGUUUUUUCGGUGUAGGAUGAGCUCGCGGCCUAUCAGCUUGUUGGUGGGGUAAUGGCCUACCAAGGCGGCGACGGGUAGCCGGCCUGAGAGGGUGUAGGGCCACAUUGGGACUGAGAUACGGCCCAGACUCCUACGGGAGGCAGCAGUGGGGAAUAUUGCACAAUGGGCGCAAGCCUGAUGCAGCGACGCCGCGUGGGGGAUGAAGGCCUUCGGGUUGUAAACUCCUUUCGCUAGGGACGAAGCUUUGUUGUGACGGUACCUAGAUAAGAAGCACCGGCUAACUACGUG
This 466-nucleotide ribosomal RNA is filed under the name uncultured bacterium. Its description in RNAcentral is "partial 16S ribosomal RNA". It matches the Rfam family "Bacterial small subunit ribosomal RNA", at positions 28 to 507 of the family's 1533-position model. The record is from RNAcentral.